UACGGAGGGUGCAAGCGUUGUCCGGAUUUAUUGGGUUUAAAGGGUGCGUAGGCGGCCUUGUAAGUCAGUGGUGAAAGCCUCCAGCUCAACUGGAGAACUGCCAUUGAUACUGCAAGGCUUGAGUACAGACGAGGUUGGCGGAAUUGAUUGUGUAGCGGUGAAAUGCAUAGAUACAAUCAAGAACACCGAUUGCGUAGGCAGCUAACUAGGCUGUAACUGACGCUGAGGCACGAAAGCGUGGGGAGCGAACAGG
RNAcentral lists this ribosomal RNA (253 nucleotides) under uncultured bacterium. Its description in RNAcentral is "partial 16S ribosomal RNA". It matches the Rfam family "Bacterial small subunit ribosomal RNA", at positions 524 to 776 of the family's 1533-position model. The record is from RNAcentral.